Non-coding RNA from Paramuricea clavata, 239 nucleotides. Lineage: Eukaryota; Metazoa; Cnidaria; Anthozoa; Malacalcyonacea; Plexauridae. The record is from the annotation of a GenBank genome assembly.
CGCGUGAUAUUUUUCAUACGCUGGCAUACGCUAGUACGAUACGCAAUAGUGUGACAGGGCCUUAAGGCCCAUUUUCUGAAGAGUUUUGUAAAUGCGAACGGGUAUAUGGUGACUAUACAUUCUUUUGUCGCAUCUCUAUUUCAUCCAAUAUAUACUGCAUUAAAAACUGUGUAAAAUAACUAAACAACAUGUUUGGCAUUUGAAAGAUACAUACAACAAUGCUUUUGUAAUAAUUACGA